GUGGGGAAUAUUGGACAAUGGGCGCAAGCCUGAUCCAGCCAUGCCGCGUGAGUGAAGAAGGCCUUAGGGUUGUAAAGCUCUUUCGCUAGGGACGAUAAUGACGGUACCUAGAUAAGAAGCCCCGGCUAACUUCGUGCCAGCAGCCGCGGUAAUACGAAGGGGGCUAGCGUUGUUCGGAAUCACUGGGCGUAAAGCGCACGCAGGCGGAUUGAUAAGUCAGGGGUGAAAUCCCGAGGCUCAACCUCGGAAUUGCCUUUGAUACUGUCUAUCUUCGAGUUCGGGAGAGGUUGGCGGAAUUCCUAGUGUAGAGGUGAAAUUCGUAGAUAUUAGGAAGAACACCAGUGGCGAAGGCGGCCAACUGGCCCGAUACUGACGCUCAUGUGCGAAAGCGUGGGGAGCAAACAGGAUUAGAUACCCGUGUAGUCC
Molecule: ribosomal RNA, 426 nt
Filed under: uncultured bacterium
Lineage: Bacteria
Description: bacterial SSU rRNA
Rfam family: Bacterial small subunit ribosomal RNA
Source: RNAcentral